RNAcentral lists this non-coding RNA (48 nucleotides) under Trichobilharzia regenti. Lineage: Eukaryota; Metazoa; Platyhelminthes; Trematoda; Strigeidida; Schistosomatidae. The record is from RNAcentral.
AUUUGCCUGAAGAGUCCCAAAUAGGACGAAAGGCGUUUCAUCCUAGAU